Molecule: long non-coding RNA, 145 nt
Organism: Bufo bufo (common toad)
Lineage: Eukaryota; Metazoa; Chordata; Amphibia; Anura; Bufonidae
Exons: 3
Source: RefSeq, a predicted model, not a curated record
GAGAUGAGAGAGUAGGUCACAUGACAGCUGAGGAUCAGAAGGAAGGUUAUAACUCACAUAAACAGUCUCUGGUAAGAAAAUGACAUUCACUACAGGUUACAUCAUGUACCUUUCUAACAGGUCAGAGAAUAUACAUUUUUGUGGG